CCUACGGGGGGCGGCAGUGGGGAAUAUUGGACAAUGGGGGAAACCCUGAUCCAGCCAUGCCGCGUGUGUGAAGAAGGUCUUAGGAUUGUAAAGCACUUUAAGUUGGGAGGAAGGGCAGUUAACUAAUAUUUGACUGUUUAGACGUUACCGACAGAAUAAGCACCGGCUAACUUCGUGCCAGCAGCCCCGGUC
Molecule: ribosomal RNA, 192 nt
Filed under: uncultured bacterium
Lineage: Bacteria
Description: partial 16S rRNA
Rfam family: Bacterial small subunit ribosomal RNA
Source: RNAcentral